This 73-nucleotide transfer RNA is filed under the name Acidobacteriota bacterium. RNAcentral's name for it is "Acidobacteria bacterium tRNA-OTHER". Lineage: Bacteria; Pseudomonadati; Acidobacteriota. RNAcentral also lists the same sequence under 2 other names. The record is from RNAcentral.
GGCCCCGUCGUCUAAGGUCAAGACGCGCCAAAGAACAACGGUGAAAUGCCCGGUUCAAGUCCGGCCGGGGUCA